This is a small nucleolar RNA of Electrophorus electricus (electric eel), 127 nucleotides long. NCBI's taxonomy places the organism in Eukaryota, Metazoa, Chordata, Actinopteri, Gymnotiformes, Gymnotidae. The record is from Ensembl.
UGGCGCAUUUCAUUGUCCUGUUCUUCGUGUAAGAACUGAGAUAUUUCUGAUGUGCUAGAUCAACCCUGGAGGUAAAUUAGCAGUUUGGCUCGAUGGUGCCAGUGCUGCCAGUCCCCUUCACACAAAC